CGACUUUCAUGGCAAAGCUGGACCAGCACACCGCAAAGAUUCUUUCUUUGAUGGCUUCAAGAGGGGGAGCUGCAAAACCGAAGAUCCAUCUCAUACAGAACAUGCUUCUACAAGAGGAGGCGUCUUCAAUUGAGAAAAAGAGAGAGGCUGCAAUCCGGGGCUUAAUCCUGUACCUUGGAGAAAAGGAUGAUGAUCUCAUUAAAGAUGAAUUGCUCGCCACUACCACUGAGGUUCCCCACUACCUCUACAGAGAUGGGAGAAAUCCCAGCGGGAGAAGAAUCUUCAUGCAGAUCUCACCAGGAAUCCAUACAAG
Long non-coding RNA from Gadus morhua (Atlantic cod), 313 nucleotides. Lineage: Eukaryota; Metazoa; Chordata; Actinopteri; Gadiformes; Gadidae. The record is from Ensembl.